GGGCCCAUAGCUCAGUUGGUUAGAGCGUCACGUUGACAUCGUGAAGGUCGGUGGUUCAAGUCCACCUGGGCCCA
RNAcentral lists this transfer RNA (74 nucleotides) under Candidatus Omnitrophota bacterium. RNAcentral describes it as "Candidatus Omnitrophica bacterium tRNA-Val". It matches the Rfam family "tRNA". Rfam says of the family: Transfer RNA (tRNA) molecules are approximately 80 nucleotides in length. Their secondary structure includes four short double-helical elements and three loops (D, anti-codon, and T loops). RNAcentral also lists the same sequence under 1 other name. The record is from RNAcentral. Lineage: Bacteria; Pseudomonadati; Candidatus Omnitrophota.